UACGGAGGGUGCGAGCGUUGUCCGGAAUCAUUGGGCGUAAAGGGCGCGUAGGUGGCUCGCCAAGCGGGCGGUGAAAGCCUGGGGCUCAACCCCGGGUCGGCCGUGCGAACUGGCGAGCUGGAGCACUGUAGAGGCAGGCGGAAUUCCGGGUGUAGCGGUGGAAUGCGUAGAGAUCCGGAAGAACACCGGUGGCGAAGGCGGCCUGCUGGGCAGUGGCUGACACUGAGGCGCGAAAGCGUGGGGAGCAAACAGG
This 253-nucleotide ribosomal RNA is filed under the name uncultured bacterium. RNAcentral's name for it is "partial 16S ribosomal RNA". It matches the Rfam family "Bacterial small subunit ribosomal RNA", at positions 524 to 776 of the family's 1533-position model. The record is from RNAcentral.